Molecule: non-coding RNA, 324 nt
Filed under: Alligator sinensis (Chinese alligator)
Lineage: Eukaryota; Metazoa; Chordata; Crocodylia; Alligatoridae
Description: Microsporidia small subunit ribosomal RNA
Rfam family: Eukaryotic small subunit ribosomal RNA
Source: Rfam by way of RNAcentral
CAUAGCCCUGCAUGCUGAAUUGGGGCUUCUUAAGGGUCCAGAAAUUUAGUGGCCAAAUUUCCGGACCUGUGGGGAGCCGCCCCAGCCAGAUGACAUGGUGCCAUGGACCAGAGAUUGAGUAUCGCUGGUACACCCAAGGUAGAGAAGACAUUUGAAUGUUUACUGUAUCAACUUUCAAUGGUACUUUAUGUGCCUAAUAUGGUGACCACAGGUAACAGGGAAUCAGGGUUUGAUCCUGGAAAGGGAGCCUAAAAAAUAGCUAACCACAUCCAAGGAAGGCAGCAGGCAUGCAAAUGACCCAUGCCCGACCUAGGGAAGUAAUGA